UACGGGGGGAGCAAGCGUUGUCCGGAUUCAUUGGGCGUAAAGGGUGCGUAGGUGGCGCUGUAAGUCGGGUGUGAAAUUUCGGAGCUUAACUCCGAAACUGCAUUCGAUACUGCGGUGCUUGAGGACUGGAGAGGAGACUGGAAUUCAUGGUGUAGCAGUGAAAUGCGUAGAGAUCAUGAGGAAGACCAGUGGCGAAGGCGGGUCUCUGGACAGUUCCUGACACUGAGGCACGAAGGCCAGGGGAGCAAACGGG
This 253-nucleotide ribosomal RNA is filed under the name uncultured bacterium. RNAcentral's name for it is "partial 16S ribosomal RNA". It matches the Rfam family "Bacterial small subunit ribosomal RNA", at positions 524 to 776 of the family's 1533-position model. The record is from RNAcentral.